UUACGUACGGUAAAGUGCAUAAAUCUUAAGUGUUUUGCUUGAAGAAUUUUUACUUACAUGUAUACUCAUCACCACCUACCAGACGAAGAUACAGAACAUUUCCAACACUUCAGAAGCUUCUCUUAUGCCCAUUUCCAGUCUACACUGCUCCAAAGGUGAGAAAACUAAAGUUCAAAAAAGCUCAAACAACCUGCCCAUUGUCACACUGCUAGAGGGAGAGCCGGGACAGGUACGUAAGGCUGCAACUUCUGUGCACACAGAAAUAGGAAGCUACCUUCACCCUCUGGAGUCCCCAGGCGGGAAAACAAGACUCGGGAGCAUGGUGGGUAAAUUACGUAUUAAGCAUUGAGAAAUAAUAGAGUGACGAAACGUUCACAGCCAGCAGGGAAAGGGCCCCGUGUGUGCUCCCGACAUCUGUGGUGUCUGCAGCGUGGACUCCACAGGGCCAGCGCGGCUCAGUGUGCCAGCCAGUCCCUGAGUCUCAUCUUUUUGUCUUCCGUCCAGGCCAGCUACACAAGGUGGGACAGGGUGAUGAGUCCACGGAGAAGCACAUGACUCCCUGAACUCUUUCAGACUCGUUCAACUUCCAGCCAGUGGGGAAGGGAGAUCCCAGCCUUCACUGGAUACAGAGUCCAAAGCCCUACGCAGUUCCAGUUGGAAAACAGAGUUGUAGACAUUUACUGGUGUGGUAAAUGGGAACUUUUCAGGGAGUACAGUGUACACUGAAUAAGAAAAAAGUGACAUAACAGUAGGGGAGGUGAUUUCCACCUCGACUGUGAGAUUUAAGAAACUGGUAGGAAAUUGAUAGGCAAUAUGGAAUAGUGUGUGAGAGUACUUCUCAGGAGCCAGACUGCCUGGAUUGCAAUCCCAGCUCCAUCACUUAUUAGCUGUGUGACUUUGAGCCAGUAAUUUGGCCGUUCUCACCUCAGUUUAUUCAUCUGUAAAAUGAGGGUGACGACAGUACCUACCUCAUAAGGUUGAUGUGAAGAUUAUAUGAAUUAAUGGACAUGAAAUAAUGUACAUUUUACGAAUUAAUGUAAUGUCUUGGGGGGCCAGCUGCAUAUGGGGGGCAUAGUGGUUAAGUUUGUGUGCUCCCCUUCAGAGGCCCAGCGGGGUUCACAGGUUAGGAUUCCGGGCGCAGACCUAGUACCACUUGCCAGGCCAUGAUGUGGCGGCAUCCCAGAAAAAGUAGAGGAAGAUUGGCA
Molecule: long non-coding RNA, 1205 nt
Filed under: Equus caballus (horse)
Lineage: Eukaryota; Metazoa; Chordata; Mammalia; Perissodactyla; Equidae
Description: lncRNA (ENSECAG00000056474.1)
Source: RNAcentral